GACGAACGCUGGCGGCGUGCCUAACACAUGCAAGUCGAACGGAAAGGCCCUGCUUUUGUGGGGUGCUCGAGUGGCGAACGGGUGAGUAACACGUGAGUAACCUGCCCUUGACUUUGGGAUAACUUCAGGAAACUGGGGCUAAUACCGGAUAGGAGCUCCUGCUGCAUGGUGGGGGUUGGAAAGUUUCGGCGGUUGGGGAUGGACUCUCGGCUUAUCAGCUUGUUGGUGGGGUAGUGGCUUACCAAGGCUUUGACGGGUAGCCGGCCUGAGAGGGUGACCGGCCACAUUGGGACUGAGAUACGGACCAGACUCCUACGGGAGGCAGCAGUGGGGAAUAUUGCACAAUGGGCGGAAGCCUGAUGCAGCAACGCCGCGUGCGGGAUGACGGCCUUCGGGUUGUAAACCGCUUUCGCCUGUGGCGAAGCGUGAGUGACGGUAAUGGGUAAAGAAGCACCGGCUAACUACGUG
Molecule: ribosomal RNA, 468 nt
Filed under: uncultured bacterium
Lineage: Bacteria
Description: partial 16S ribosomal RNA
Rfam family: Bacterial small subunit ribosomal RNA
Source: RNAcentral